GGAGGGGUUCCCGAGUGGCCAAAGGGGGCAGACUGUAAAUCUGUUGUCUCUGACUUCGAAGGUUCAAAUCCUUCUCCCUCCA
Molecule: transfer RNA, 82 nt
Filed under: Natranaerovirga hydrolytica
Lineage: Bacteria; Bacillati; Bacillota; Clostridia; Lachnospirales; Natranaerovirgaceae
Description: Clostridiales bacterium APP2 tRNA
Rfam family: tRNA
About the family: Transfer RNA (tRNA) molecules are approximately 80 nucleotides in length.
Source: Rfam by way of RNAcentral